AUGGUUAAUAGAAUUUUUAUAUAAAUAGAAAUACUAACUAAUUAAAAACAAAUCCUGUUUUUAUUUCUUCCACUGGAUAACGUAUGAUUAUAUUUAAAAUGUGUGACAGCUCUAGCGAAGAUGACACCGGUGACAUUAUAUCAAAUGCAUUCAAAUGUUGUCGGAUCCUUUUUAAGUGUUUUAAAUGCAUGAAAAAAUCCAAAGCCUUGAACAAUAAAAUAAAACCUGGUAAAGUGAAGGUCAAGGUUAAUGGGAUAUCUCUGGGAUCCCAACAGCCGAUCGCAGAACAUGUUGAAGGUUUUGCAGACCAUAUUGAAUGAUCAACAUGCUAAUAUUACUUCCUUUUAUGGAUAUGUCUUCUCAAACUCAAAAGUAUAAUUAUAUAUAGCACUAUGACAGAUUCUUUGAAAAAUUCUUUGAUCGGUUAAAAUUAACAGCCACAUAUAUUUACAUAAAACAAAAAUUUGAAAACUUGGAUGAUAAAUGUUUUAUUAAAAUAUUUUUGUAUGAUUGAAAUUGAUUAAAUAAAAUGCACUUCUACUCGGAAGUUUCUAUA
Mytilus californianus (California mussel) is the source of this 556-nucleotide long non-coding RNA. RefSeq lists it as uncharacterized. The transcript has 3 exons. The record is from RefSeq and is a predicted model, not a curated record. NCBI's taxonomy places the organism in Eukaryota, Metazoa, Mollusca, Bivalvia, Mytilida, Mytilidae.